This 507-nucleotide ribosomal RNA is filed under the name Triticum aestivum (bread wheat). Its description in RNAcentral is "partial small subunit ribosomal RNA". Lineage: Eukaryota; Viridiplantae; Streptophyta; Magnoliopsida; Poales; Poaceae. The record is from RNAcentral.
AUGCAGAUGAUCAGUCGAGUACACAUGAAUAUCCCAGAUAUCCACCCGACAGCAGUGAUAGCGGCGUUCCAGUCCAACGUGUUCAACCGCAGGAUACGUUCCAAAAUGAACAUGCGGUUGCCCAAGACUGUGAAUGAGUUGUACACUCUGGUGGAUAAGUGUGCUCGCGUAGAAGAGGGAAGGCGGCUUCCCGGUGAAGAGGAUGGCGUCGAUGUUGACUCAGAGGACGACAACGACACCUCCAACCAGAAGAAAAAGGGAAAGAAGCGCAACAAGAAGUGCAAAGAUAAAGUUGUGAUGGACGUUGAAGGAUCGAGCACACCGAAUACCAGUAAGAAGGUCAAGGCCGAGGCCCCCGGCAAGGAAGCUGCCACGUGCACUGACUGCCGGGAAGCUGCUGCUGCGGAGAAAGCUGGGAAAGGUGAUGGCCCAUACUGUAAGAUCCACAGGACAAAGGGCUACGUUCUUCAGGAGUGUCAUCAGGUUGAGCAGCUUGUCAAGAAGUAG